This is a long non-coding RNA of Musa acuminata AAA Group (dessert banana), 804 nucleotides long. RefSeq lists it as uncharacterized. The record is from RefSeq and is a predicted model, not a curated record. The transcript has 3 exons. NCBI's taxonomy places the organism in Eukaryota, Viridiplantae, Streptophyta, Magnoliopsida, Zingiberales, Musaceae.
GCCAAUCGCAAAUUAGGAGAGAGAGAGAGAGAGAGAGAGAGAGAGAGAGGGGUUUCGCUCGUUACCCAACCCCCCUUCCGUCGAAACCCUAGCUUUUCUUUCGACAACGAUCGAUCACGUCUUCCGACCUCCCCUUGGCCGCCUCCCUUUCAAUCAGCGGCUUCCCCUCCCUGUUUCCAAUAUCUCGAUUUGCUUUUGCUUUAUUUGUUUUCGUUGUUUUCUGGAUCUUCAGUUGGUCAGGCCAGGGAAUUACGAUUGUUUCGCAUAUAUUUCUGAUUCAGUUGGUCGUUUCUUGACAGGAGAAUUGGAUUGCAUGAUUUCUUGGCGAAGCCCGGAGGAGGAUGAUCGCUCGUCGGCCGUCUUGGCGAAGCCCUCCGUUGCUCCGUCACCCAGCUUCGCGCCAGAGACGCCCUUUACCCCCUCCUUCCUCGCCGACAAGAAAUCGAUCCGGAGCUAACAUUCACGAAUCGCCCCAAGCUUACGUGAUCGGAUCAUUGCCGCAUCGAACAUUCGGAUCCGGGUCAACAAGCGACCGGAUAAAGAAGGCUUAGGAAAUUGAAUCCCAUGAAGACCGCUUUUAUAAUGGCGACGACUCCUCCCCUCGUUCGCAUACUCUCGGUUACUUGCCCUUUUUCUACGUCUCCAUAAUCUCAGAUCGCGGUGGCGAUCGUCGGAGGGAUCAGGGAAGUGGAAGGGAUUGCUAACAGCGCCGAGACCGAGCAGCUCGCCCGCUUUGCCGUCGAAGAACGUAACAAGAAAGAGACUGCUCUCUUGGAGUUCUUGGUGCGCGUGGUCAAGGCGAAG